RNAcentral lists this ribosomal RNA (448 nucleotides) under uncultured bacterium. RNAcentral describes it as "bacterial SSU rRNA". It matches the Rfam family "Bacterial small subunit ribosomal RNA", at positions 335 to 802 of the family's 1533-position model. The record is from RNAcentral.
ACUCCUACGGGAGGCAGCAGUGGGGAAUAUUGCACAAUGGGCGCAAGCCUGAUGCAGCAACGCCGUGUGAGUGAAGAAGGUUUUCGGAUCGUAAACUCUGUCCUAAGGGAAGAAACAAAUGACGGUACCUUAGGAGGAAGCCCCGGCUAACUACGUGCCAGCAGCCGCGGUAAUACGUAGGGGCAAGCGUUAUCCGGAAUCACUGGGCGUAAAGGGUGCGUAGGCGGCUUAGCAAGCCAGGGUGAAAGGCAUUGGCUCAACCAAUGUAAGCCUUUGGAACUGUUAAGCUUGAGUGCAGGGAGAGGUAAGUGGAAUUCCUAGUGUAGAGGUGAAAUUCGUAGAUAUUAGGAGGAACACCAGUGGCGAAGGCGACUUACUGGACUGUAACUGACGCUGAUGCACGAAAGCGUGGGUAGCGAACAGGAUUAGAUACCCUGGUAGACUGUCA